AUUGAACGCUGGCGGCAGGCUUAACACAUGCAAGUCGAGCGGGGUGAUGGUGCUUGCACUAUCACUUAGCGGCGGACGGGUGAGUAAUGCUUAGGAAUCUGCCUAUUAGUGGGGGACAACAUCUCGAAAGGGAUGCUAAUACCGCAUACGUCCUACGGGAGAAAGCAGGGGAUCACUUGUGACCUUGCGCUAAUAGAUGAGCCUAAGUCGGAUUAGCUAGUUGGUGGGGUAAAGGCCUACCAAGGCGACGAUCUGUAGCGGGUCUGAGAGGAUGAGCCGCCACACUGGGACAGAGACAAGGCCAAGACUCCGACGGGAGGCAGCAGGGGGGAAUAUUGGAAAAUGGGGGGAACCCUGAUCCAGCCAUGCCGCGUGUGUGAAGAAGGCCUUAUGGUUGUAAAGCACUUUAAGCGAGGAGGAGGCUCUUUUGGUUAAUACCCAAGAUGAGUGGACGUUACUCGCAGAAUAAGCACCGGCUAACUCUGUGCCAGCCGCCGCCGUAA
Molecule: ribosomal RNA, 503 nt
Filed under: uncultured bacterium
Lineage: Bacteria
Description: partial 16S ribosomal RNA
Rfam family: Bacterial small subunit ribosomal RNA
Source: RNAcentral